RNAcentral lists this unclassified non-coding RNA (302 nucleotides) under uncultured Sporidiobolales. RNAcentral's name for it is "sequence contains 5.8S rRNA gene". The stretch from base 1 to 53 matches the Rfam family "5.8S ribosomal RNA", at positions 102 to 154 of the family's 154-position model. The record is from RNAcentral. Lineage: Eukaryota; Fungi; Basidiomycota; Microbotryomycetes; Sporidiobolales.
GAACGCAUCUUGCGCUCCUUGGUAUUCCUAGGAGCAUGCCUGUUUGAGUGUCAUGAAACUCUCAACCCCCUUGUUUUGUAAUGAAACGAGUGUGGGCUUGGAUUAUGGCUGCUGCCGGCGUUAUUGUCGACUCGGCUGAAAUAUACGAGCUACCCAUUUCUAAGAAAUAGACGGUUUGACUCGGCGUAAUAACAUAUUUCGCUGAGGACGUCACAUUCUUUAACAUUAGUGGUGCUUCUAAUGCGACAUCUAAACCUAAGCUUUAGACCUCAAAUCAGUCAGGACUACCCGCUGAACUUAAG